GACAGAGGGUGCAAAUGUUGUUCGGAAUUACUGGGCGUAAAGGGCGCGUAGGCGGACAGUUUAGUCAGAGGUGAAAGCCCAGGGCUCAACCUUGGAAUUGCCUUUUGAUACUGGCUGUCUUGAGUUCGGGAGAGGUGAGUGGAAUGCCGAGUGUAGAGGUGAAAUUCGUAGAUAUUCGGCGGAACACCAGUGGCGAAGGCGACUCACUGGCCCGAUACUGACGCUGAGGCGCGAAAGCGUGGGGAGCAAACAGG
This 254-nucleotide ribosomal RNA is filed under the name uncultured bacterium. RNAcentral describes it as "partial 16S ribosomal RNA". It matches the Rfam family "Bacterial small subunit ribosomal RNA", at positions 524 to 776 of the family's 1533-position model. The record is from RNAcentral.